This is a long non-coding RNA of Rhincodon typus (whale shark), 908 nucleotides long. RefSeq lists it as uncharacterized. The transcript is spliced from 5 exons. The record is from RefSeq and is a predicted model, not a curated record. NCBI's taxonomy places the organism in Eukaryota, Metazoa, Chordata, Chondrichthyes, Orectolobiformes, Rhincodontidae.
CCGCCUCUUUGCUUGUGCAGCUGCUGCUGGGUGAGCGCGUGUCAAUGGGAUCCGGCUCCGUGCGCGGUAACCGCGUGGUGCGGCUGCCGGCCCGCAGACCCGGACAUUAGAGAGGAGUCCCAAGAAAUGGCGUUUGUGAGCAGACCAGCCGGAACGGAAGUGGCCCACGUGGCAUUGAGUAAUAUUCAGGGAAAUGAAAAACCAAGCAAUAGAUGACAUUGGAAAGAAGAAAUGUGAAUCUAAGAAUUACCAUCAAAAAAGCUGAACCAUGAAAUAAGUGCUUAAACAUGGAGGAACAUUCAAGGAUAUGUGCAGAGGCAUGCCAGCACCCUGUACAUGUCAUUGGAAUAGUUGUGGAUCGUGAUCAUGAAGGGGAGGAAGCCACAAGUUUAAAUUUUUGUGAAGUAGAAUGCAACUAAUUUUUAAACUUCUCAUGCGAGAAUAACUUGCUUGAGGGGGAAUGAGGGAAAUGUAUAUUUGAUUUGUAAAAUUAUCUUGUAGAAACAGGGGUAAUGCAAGAUUUGAGAUUUUGUAAAUGUUCUCAAUUCACCUGUUCAAACUGAUUAUGAUAUCUCUGGAGCAGUUAGGACUUGAAUCCAGACCUUCUGGUGCCAAAGCAGGGACACUACUGUGGCACCAGUCCCUUGAGACUUUGUAUUCAUGAACACUACUGUGAUUUAUUUGCCAUUGUGUUUGUAGUUAGCUUCAUAUAAUGUUUUAGGUAUUGCAAUUAGUUACUGAUAAUAUGCCCCAAUAAAUAUAUAAUAGUGCCAAAGUUGUUUUUUUCCUAAAGCUUACUUGCUACCCAGUGUUGAUUUACCAAUCCAGUUACAACUGAUUGUAUAAUUGCUAUGUUCUGGAUCUUGCAAUUGAUUUUAAGAUUUAAUGUAAUAAAUGUUUACACCCUG